AUUGAACGCUGGCGGCAGGCCUAACACAUGCAAGUCGAGCGGAUGAAGGGAGCUUGCUCCUGGAUUCAGCGGCGGACGGGUGAGUAAUGCCUAGGAAUCUGCCUGGUAGUGGGGGAUAACGUCCGGAAACGGGCGCUAAUACCGCAUACGUCCCGAGGGAGAAAGUGGGGGAUCUUCGGACCUCACGCUAUCAGAUGAGCCUAGGUCGGAUUAGCUAGUUGGUGGGGUAAAGGCCUACCAAGGCGACGAUCCGUAACUGGUCUGAGAGGAUGAUCAGUCACACUGGAACUGAGACACGGUCCAGACUCCUACGGGAGGCAGCAGUGGGGAAUAUUGGACAAAGGGCGAAAGCCUGAUCCAGCCAUGCCGCGUGUGUGAAGAAGGUCUUCGGAUUGUAAAGCACUUUAAGUUGGGAGGAAGGGCAGUAAGUUAAUACCUUGCUGUUUUGACGUUACCAACAGAAUAAGCACCGGCUAACUUCGUG
RNAcentral lists this ribosomal RNA (484 nucleotides) under uncultured bacterium. RNAcentral's name for it is "partial 16S ribosomal RNA". It matches the Rfam family "Bacterial small subunit ribosomal RNA", at positions 30 to 507 of the family's 1533-position model. The record is from RNAcentral.